UGGGGAAUAUUGCACAAUGGGCGAAAGCCUGAUGCAGCAACGCCGCGUGAGUGAUGAAGGUCUUCGGAUUGUAAAGCUCUGUCUUUUGGGACGAUAAUGACGGUACCAAAGGAGGAAGCCACGGCUAACUACGUGCCAGCAGCCGCGGUAAUACGUAGGUGGCGAGCGUUGUCCGGAUUUACUGGGCGUAAAGGGUGCGUAGGCGGAUGUUUAAGUGAGAUGUGAAAUACCCGGGCUUAACUUGGGUGCUGCAUUUCAAACUGGAUAUCUAGAGUGCAGGAGAGGAGAAUGGAAUUCCUAGUGUAGCGGUGAAAUGCGUAGAGAUUAGGAAGAACACCAGUGGCGAAGGCGAUUCUCUGGACUGUAACUGACGCUGAGGCACGAAAGCGUGGGUAGCAAACAGGAUUAGAUACCCUGGUAGUCCACGCCGUAAACGAUGAGUACUAGGUGUAGGAGGUAUCGACCCCUUCUGUGCCGCAGUAAACACAUUAAGUACUCCGCCUGGGAAGUACGAUCGCAAGAUUA
This 525-nucleotide ribosomal RNA is filed under the name uncultured bacterium. RNAcentral's name for it is "partial 16S ribosomal RNA". It matches the Rfam family "Bacterial small subunit ribosomal RNA", at positions 355 to 896 of the family's 1533-position model. The record is from RNAcentral.